Molecule: long non-coding RNA, 4044 nt
Filed under: Nicotiana tabacum (common tobacco)
Lineage: Eukaryota; Viridiplantae; Streptophyta; Magnoliopsida; Solanales; Solanaceae
Description: long non-coding RNA (NTAB_LNC003981)
Source: RNAcentral
CCCACCAGCCGAGGUGAUACUAGCAAUUGUGAAUUAAGUUUCAAAAUUUUGGAGCCAUAUUACAGUAAAUGAGUAGUCAAGUACACCAAGAAAUCUACUGGAAUAUCUAUGUAUGAGGAAUUUUUAUGUCAUUUGUGUUGCACACCGACGAAUUUGAGACACCACCAGUGUGAUAACUUCAUUCCUCUCCAAAUCUCACUGGCCCAAAAUGUGGAGAAAACAAACUCUAAAUUGGAGUCAAACAAUUGAAGUUCUCAAACUUACAGCUGCUCCUGAUCUGGAGACGAGCUUACAAUCGUCUGAAAAUUAAGACGAAUUUACAGGUCAACAAGAAUAAACCACAAGAAAAAUGGAUAAUUUCAGGCUUCACAUAUGCUAUUUCAUGGGCUAUGUUAUUCCGCAUAAGCAUUUUCAGUCAGAAACGACUACACGAAUAAAACUGGAACAUGCUUACACUUCCUAACAUAUCAAAGUAAAUAUAAGGUAUAAAUUUCAAAAGAAAAGCAGCAGCAUACACCAAAAUCCAUUUCAAAGUAGUAUAUUUUGAAUGGUGUCGCUAAUAAAGUACCAUAAACUUUUGAUGAAACUAGACAAACGAUAUAAUAUUGUCACAUCACUCCAAAAAAGUAACCUAGCCGACAAGUUAGCCAAAGGCUUCAUUGUGCAUACAAACGAACAACUCAGUAACAUCAUGUCCGUACUUCAAUCAGUAAGCAGUGGAUAUAAUAAAUAACAUCAGCUAACACAUGAUGCUAUCAUGUUAGGAUAUUACAAGUUCAAUAUGCUUAUAGAUAUCAACCAGCUUAAGUCAAACACACUAGACCUUGGAUCCAGGAAUACAAUAUUGCUCCAUAUUGGCCAAUCUUUCCCAAGCCUUUUGUUCCAGUUUUGGCAUACAAAAUCAUAAAGUACUACAUAUUUACUUUCGAAUACAAAACCUGCAAAAACUACAGCAGUGUCAAGGACAGAUUCUUGUCUUAUCUAAUAGCAUUCUCAACUCUAGGUAAUAUAGAUGUCCAUGACUUCUGCAUUUGGCAUUACCAUGAUCACUAUCCAGGAAAAAACUCUUUUUACCCUCACUUUCUAACUUGCCUAAAUGAUAACUAUCAGCCUGGCACCAGUCACUAAUCAAUUCAAUAAACAUGCAAAUAGAACCUUCAUUCCAUGAUCUCCAAUCACACCAAAGUAACCAUUUGUAGCAACUACUGCUUCAAAAUCCUACAUUCAACAAAUUGAGAUUGAAAGUUUGAAACACCCUGCAUAAAAGGUUAAACGUUUUGAUGUUUGGAAGUGCAACAAGGUUAAAAGUAAGAGUUCCAAGAAAAGCAAGUUCCCGAUUGUGCUUGACUUUCUUUUUCCAAGUAUAAUGUUGCCAACUUAAUUGUAAAGAACCUGUGUUUUAGUAUUUUAGACUGCUCAUGGAGAAGAGAAAAUGGUGUGGAACAGCAAUCUAGGAGAAGGUGGUGAUGAUCGUUUUGGAUAAUGGAGAAGAUAAUAACUUAUAUCAAAAGGUGAUGAUAAUGAUGAUGAAGACUAUAUCAGCAGCAAUGAAGAAGAAGAAGAUGCCAGAUUGCAGGUGGGAGGAGGACAAGGCAGUAAAGUAAAUGUUGCUUGUGGAAAAGACAGUGGUAAUGCAAAAGAUGACAAGUUAAGAUGCAGAGCGAGAAUGAAACGAGGGAGCAGAGAGAGACCAGUGAUAUAAUGGAUAAUAUGGUGGGUGCAAUAGUGUAGAUUGACGAUAAUUGUGAUAAGCAAUCUCUGAUGAUGACAAUCGGACAUGGACAACGGCGAUAUGUGAUAAUUGAUGUGUUUGGAAAUGAUCUUCAAGAAGAUUUAGAAGACAGGAAUUACUUCGUUCUUUUUUUUCUUCUUAUUUCUUCUUUGACUAUAUUAUCGGAUUUGAAGGAAAUUAGUAGCUUUUUGCAUAAAUCCGUCGUAUUCAAUUUUUUUCUUAUUCAUCAAACCCAGAUAAUAAAGUUAACACAAGGUAUUUGCACAUCGUAUAAAAAAAAACAUCAUGAAGCAUCAUCACUUUUUGGAAUUUAUCAGCUCCUUAAUCCUAUAAUAGUUUUUUUCCCCCUUUAUUCUUGAGCUGAUACUUCCAUCUCUUUUGUAACCUAUGAGUCUUCUUGAUGCUUUUUGUUAAUGAUAUUCCACUUAUUUCAUCAAGAAAAGAAAUACCAGAUACAGACGAGUUGAUUCCUCCCCCCCCCCCCCCCCCCCCCCCCCCCCCCCCCCCCCUGCCCCUCCCCCCCGCUUUCUGCUACCACAUCAAUCUAAGCUAUGGAAAGAUGAUUACUCUGUAAAAAGUACUCCCUCCGUCCCAAUUUAUAUGACACUCUUUCCUUUUUAGUCAGUCCCAAAAAGAAUGACAUCUUUGCAUAAACAAUUCAACUUUAAAUUUUCCCUUUUACCAUUGAUGAGAUGAUUUCUAGUCACACAAAUUUUUAUGGCUUGUUUUAAAUCACAAGUUUCAAAACAUUUCUUUUAGAUUUUAAACUCCGUGCUCAGUCAAACACCUUCACAGAAAUUGGGACGAAGGGAGUAAGUGUUUUAGAAAGCUUGGUUAAGGUUAGCUACAUUAGGUUCUCAUUAGAACUGCUCACUCAACCUAAAAAGUUAGUGCUCUCAAAUGUAUCAUACUAUUCACAACAAGGAUGUCAUAAGAGCAAUAAAGUGUGAUAAGGCAUUCAGCAUAACCGCUACCGACUGUUAGGGUAAAACGGCCCAAAGAUACUUUUAACAUGGUGUGAUAUUGUCCGCUUUGGGCCAAACGACUUUGUUCACACACUCCCAACACCAACAAGGCAAACAAUACAAGUAUAACCACUGUGCACAGUGCUUUAGCAACAACGGGUAACUUGCUAAAUUUUCUUCCUAAGAAAGUAAUUAGAACAACUUUUACAAGAUUUUUAGGACAGGAUACAAAAUUCAUAAGCUACAUCAGAUUAGGGUUUCUUCGACGUAUUCUUCUUUUAUACGCAUUCUCCUCGUUUUUUCUCAAUCAAAUUUAUUUACCUAUCAAAGAAAAAUUAUAAACUUUGAUAUUUGGACCUGAGAGUUCAAUAUUAGACUGAAUAGCUUGGAAACAUCCCCAACAAAAAAAUAUAACUAAACACAUAUACAUAAAUAUUUGAUCAUUAACAAGUUUAUGUCAAUUAACCAGGAACCAGGAAGUUCCUCCGCGGCCGAAACUACUUACAUCAGGUAGCUACAAAAGUGUAUAAAUUUGUAUAGUUUUUGUAUAUAGCAUACAUAAAUGUAUAUAUAUAUAUAUACAAAAAGUAUAUAUUUUUCGGCUAUUAUUUUGAGAGCGGCUAUACAAUGUCAUUUUACCAAUAUAGAAAUAGCUUUGUAGACCAGCCCAAUUUCAGCUCCAAACUUCCAACACUUUUUCUUAGUCAAUAUUUUAUAAAUUAAAAGAUCCAUCUAAACCAAAUGCUUGCAUAAGUAAAAGUAUAUUCAACAGCUUACAACACAUUAUCACUUGAAAACCUCCAUGUAACAAAAAAAUUCAAAUUUUCAAACGAGCAUAAUAGUAAAUAAUGGAUAAAAAUAGGAAAAGAAAUUAAGAUGGAAUUUAACAAAAAAGGGUAGCAAGAAAUCACCUGGGCUGGAUCAAAUUCUGGCCAUUUUGACGAGGAAGAAGCAGAGGAAACAUAAGAAUAUGAAGAGGUAAAGAUAAUCUGCAAUCACAAAUAAUUUGGUGGAUCCGUAAUUCCUAUUUGCCUUCUUCUUUGAUGUGUCUUCCAUUGAUUCCAGCUUCGCCAUUAAUAAUACAAUCAGAAGAGCAAAUCGAAAAUUUCAAAGGCAAUGUAGCAAUAGAUCUUAUUCUGUUGGGAAGAUAUAUGAAGAGAAAAUAAUGUGUUCUUUUACAUAAAUUUUACUCCAAGUAAAUAUUUUUAUUAUCUCAGCUUACGCUUACAGCUUGUUUGAAUGGUUGUUAAUAUAUGUAUUGUAAAGAAAAAUUAUGAUUCGGGGUAAAAUUAUUAUAUAAAAAUAUAGGUAAAUGAUAAAAUAAAAUUAUUUAAUAAUAAAAGGGUG